AAUAGAUACCCGGUAGUCACGCCGUAAACGAUGAGUGCUAAGUGUUAGAGGGUUUCCGCCCUUUAGUGCUGCAGCAAACGCAUUAAGCACUCCGCCUGGGGAGUACGGUCGCAAGACUGAAACUCAAAGGAAUUGACGGGGGCCCGCACAAGCGGUGGAGCAUGUGGUUUAAUUCGAAGCAACGCGAAGAACCUUACCAGGUCUUGACAUCCUUAUGCCUUCUCUAGAGAUAGAGCUUUCCCUUCGGGGACAUAAGUGACAGGUGGUGCAUGGUUGUCGUCAGCUCGUGUCGUGAGAUGUUGGGUUAAGUCCCGCAACGAGCGCAACCCUUGAUCUUAGUUGCCAGCAUUCAGUUGGGCACUCUAAGGUGACUGCCGGUGACAAACCGGAGGAAGGUGGGGAUGACGUCAAAUCAUCAUGCCCCUUAUGACCUGGGCUACACACGUGCUACAAUGGAUGGUACAAAGGGAAGCGAAACCGCGAGGUUAAGCCAAUCCCAUAAAACCAUUCUCAGUUCGGAUUGCAGGCUG
Molecule: ribosomal RNA, 530 nt
Filed under: uncultured bacterium
Lineage: Bacteria
Description: bacterial SSU rRNA
Rfam family: Bacterial small subunit ribosomal RNA
Source: RNAcentral